GACGAACGCUGGCGGCGUGCCUAAUACAUGCAAGUUGAGCGCUGAAGGUUGGUACUUGUACCAACUGGAUGAGCAGCGAACGGGUGAGUAACGCGUGGGGAAUCUGCCUUUGAGCGGGGGACAACAUUUGGAAACGAAUGCUAAUACCGCAUAAAAACUUUAAACACAAGUUUUAAGUUUGAAAGAUGCAAUUGCAUCACUCAAAGAUGAUCCCGCGUUGUAUUAGCUAGUUGGUGAGGUAAGGGCUCACCAAGGCGAUGAUACAUAGCCGACCUGGGAGGGUGAUCGGCCACAUUGGGACUGAGACACGGCCCAAACUCCUACGGGAGGCAGCAGUAGGGAAUCUUCGGCAAUGGACGAAAGUCUGACCGAGCAACGCCGCGUGAGUGAAGAAGGUUUUCGGAUCGUAAAACUCUGUUGGUAGAGAAGAACGUUGGUGAGAGUGGAAAGCUCAUAAAGUGACGGUAACUACCCAGAAAGGGACGGCUAACUACGU
This 496-nucleotide ribosomal RNA is filed under the name uncultured bacterium. RNAcentral's name for it is "partial 16S ribosomal RNA". It matches the Rfam family "Bacterial small subunit ribosomal RNA", at positions 28 to 506 of the family's 1533-position model. The record is from RNAcentral.